This 2269-nucleotide long non-coding RNA is filed under the name Sus scrofa (pig). Its description in RNAcentral is "lncRNA (ENSSSCG00000049366.1, ENSSSCG00025051354.1)". The record is from RNAcentral. Lineage: Eukaryota; Metazoa; Chordata; Mammalia; Artiodactyla; Suidae.
GGACCAGUUCCACAAGGUCAACCCAGAUGCAGAACGGUUGCAGUGGUUAGAUCCAAAACAUCCCCGGCGUGGCCUUCAUUUAUAAGGCAAAUCCCCUGACUCCCUGGUUGCCAGCAUUCCCUUUCUUACGUAAUGAACAGCGGAAGAAAUGUUAUGCAUGGUUCUGGAACAUCAUUUGUAUAUCGAAAUACUUCGGCCUAUCAUUGGAAAUCUGACAACCGAAAUGUGAGCUCUAAGCCUUGUGAGGCAGUGAGCCCUUAUUAUGGUACCUUCAUUUUCCAGAUGAAGGAACACGGCGUCAAGAGGACUGACCAUUGAUGUUCUCUGUGGGUGGCAGGCAGAUUUGACAUCCUUCUUCUCCAGUGAUUUUCCAGAGUGAUGAAGCUACCUAUUAAAGAAUGCUUUUCAAAAAGCCUGUCUUGGAGGCAAUCAGUUGCUUUCCACUGGCUGUCAGAAGUGGAUGAUGAAUGCAAACUUCAUACCUUUAUGAAAAGGGUACGAACACAGAAAGUGCUGUUGAAGGAUUGUGUGGUCUGGAUCAGUGAUGAGAACAGGAAACAAGAUUUCCCCAUCAAGUAGGCUGUCUUGACCUAUAGCUGUGUCUGCCUGCCACCUAAUAAGGGACAUUGCUGUUAUAGAUCAAAGAAAACUGGAGAAAAGAACACAAAUUUGUUGUGUUCAAGGUUGCAUUGCAGAUGCUGUCUGAGUGUUAACAACUUGGUUAUUGGGGGGAAAGGGAGGAUAUUCCCAGACUGAAACUACUAUGCCUUAUCAUCUGGGACCCAAAAGAGCUAGUAGAAUUGCAAAUUUUCAGUCUUUCUGAAGAAGGCACCACGUGAUAAUGUGUUAUAAGGAAGCCCCUGAACAAAGAAGGUAAGAAACCCAGGACCACAGUGCUCAAAACAUCAUUGUGUCUCUGAAGAAAGCACAUACUAAGCAAACUAAGGACAAGCCUUUAGAAUGAUAUGCUUUUGGCCAAGGGAAUGAAGGAAACCAAAGAAAAAUGCCAGAAACAGACUUCUGAGGCAUAGAGGCUGACCCUUCUGGGUGCUUCUACCUCUAGGUCUGAGUCUAGUCAAAAACAGGACUUUUCUAAGAAUAACAAAUUAAUAACAUCAGACAUUACAAAAGAUUAAAUGAGAUUUUAAAAAAAUACAUGAAUAUAUUUCACUACAAAAAGAUCUUGAAAAUGAUAUUUCUAGUUCCUGAAAAGGCGCCCUCACAUAAUGGUCAUAGCGCUCAAAUGGGUCAGAGAAAGAAAGACAGAUUUUCUUUCUUUAACCUGCUUUCCAUAGUACUUCUGGCUUUCCUGGGUCUCUCUCAUCUUCUCUGGUUCUCAUGCCCUCUCUCAUAUUUUCCUCCAGGGAUCCCUUUCUUUCUCUUUUUUGAGGGGUCAGCUGCUCAGCCCCAACCAAUAAACAAUAAUAAUAAUGAAAUCACCUCUCUGUAAAUCUCAGUUCAUGCCAUCGAGUGCAUGCUCCUGUCUGUGAUUUUAUUUCUAAUUUCCUUCAAUUACCAAUGUCUCUUUUUGAAGGGUCUCCUCUGUGAGGGACACACUGUGAUGAAGUGCAGGGUAGCAGAGCACACCCGAAAACCCACUCAUCAUCAUAGCUCAUCCCGAGACAAGCUGCUUUCAGUGGUAGGGCAUCUGGUUGAAUAUGAUUCUUUUGACAAGACUGUCGAUGGAUUGAGGAAGGGAGGAGCUCUGAGAAGAUCUCUCUCUGGGUUUCUAUUCAGGGUGAACCUCCAACCAGUCUCAGAACAAGGUACUUUUAGCAUCACAUUGCUUUCAAACCUUAAGAGAACAUUUCUACAUGGAAAGCUGGAGUGUCUGUGACUCAGAAGGCAUUCCCUUUUGAUUGUGAAUAAAGAGUGUAAAGAAUGGAUUCUUAUGUGCAAGGCAAAGUUGUAGGUAGGAAUUGUCCCCAAACUUGGAAUGUAUAUUGGUACAGCCACUAUGGAGAACAGUAUGGAAGUUACCUAAAAACCUAAAAAUAGAGACAUCAUAUGAUUCUGAAAAUUCACUCCUGAGCAUAAAUCCAGAAAAAACUGUAAUUCGAAAAGAUACAUGUACUUCAACCUUCACAGCAGCACUAUUUACAAAGGCCAAGAUACAGAAGCAACCUAGAUGUCCAUCAACAUCUAGAUGGAUAAAGAGGUGUGGUAUUUAUACAUACAGCGAAAGACUAUUCAGCCAUAAGAAAAGAGUAAAUAAUGCUAUUUGCAGCAACAUGGGUGGACCUAGAGAUUAUUAUACUAAGUGAAGUAA